Long non-coding RNA from Meriones unguiculatus (Mongolian gerbil), 5321 nucleotides. RefSeq lists it as uncharacterized. The transcript has 4 exons. The record is from RefSeq and is a predicted model, not a curated record. NCBI's taxonomy places the organism in Eukaryota, Metazoa, Chordata, Mammalia, Rodentia, Muridae.
AGGGUUUUCUUGCUGAGCUCUGUCCACCCAUUAUUUUAUUAUCGCUGUUUCUCAGCUUGGAUUGACUAAGAGAAUGAUGUCCUCAAACCUCCUCCCUGCUGCCUAGCAGAACAUUUGGUGAGAAGGAAAAACCACUGCUAAGCAAUGCCACAGGCUGGCAAGGACACGAAGCAGUGGCUCACUCAUACAUUGCUUCUUCUAGAAUACUACGUGUAGGAAGACAUGCCCAAGGCUGCCUGGACCAUCGUUUCCAAUAGUUAAAAAGAGGCCCACACUCAUAUGAAAACACAGAACAGAGUGGACCGUAAGAUCUGGGAAAACACGGAGCGGCUGAGCAUCAUUUUAAAAGAAUACCAGGAAGGAAGAGGCACACGCCUGACUCAUGGGGAAGGACUAAAUAAAGCAAAGAAUCUCUUUAGGCUUAAAUUGAAGAGUAUGGAAGAGGAGGGCCUGAAGUAAAAGAAUCAAGGAAGCCCGAGUGCCACAACAAACAAGAACGAGUUUGAACCUUCUAAGCGCUGAGUACCACGGGACAGCAGGCUGGUCCGCCCAUCUCCGUAGAGUCUGAGGAUAUGUUGUGGACUGUGGGAGUACAAAUGGCUGAGACCCAGCCUCUGACAUUGUAGAGUGACCAAAGCGCACCUCAGGGGUCUUGCACAGGCGGAGGACACUAACGGGCACAGUGAUGUGCCCACAGGAGGGCAGAAAGUCACAGGUAAAAGAAUGACCACUAGUUAGUAGUUUCCCAAAGGAAGCUGGCAUUUGGCCCAGACAUUUACUGAACCUCUAUUAAUCAUUCAAGAAAAUUCUACCCCUGAGGAUGAUAGGCACCUGCCAAAAUACUGUUUAAACAUUUGGGGGGAAAUGGCUUAAAUGACCAUAAAUGAAGAUUCACUUUAAACAAAGGUAUGUGUUUACGGGAUGGAUUUUGGCUCAACACCACUAAAUUCAUGUAUUGGAAUGCUGCCCUCAGGACCUCAGAAUGUGACUCUAUUUGGAUAUAAGGCAUUUAAAGUUAGUGGGCCCUAAUUUAUCAUCUCAGACACACACAGGGAGAAGCCCAUAUAUGGAAUAAGAUAGCCAUCCAAAAACAAAGAGAGGUCUUUGAAAAAUUAACCCUUUUGACACUUUGAUCUCAGAUGCCUAGCAUCUAGACUUGUGAUCAAACAGAUACUUAUUUAAAUUACCCAGUCACGGAAACUUGGUUCUGCUAUGGUAGCUCCAGUAAAUAAAUACAGUUCAGUAUCUCUAAGUCAGCCGUUAUCAACCUGUGGGUCACAACCCUUUUUUUUUGGGGGGGGGAAGUGUCUAACAACCCUUUAAAGGGGUCACCUAAUAACCAUCAGAAAACGUAGGUCUUUAGAUGAGCACACUUUCAGUUAUGCAGAGUAGCACACUUUCAGUUAUGAAGCAGCCACAAAAACAAUUUUAUGAUUGGGGUCACCACAACAUGAGUAACUGCACUAAAGGUUGCAGCAUUAGGAAGGUUGAGAACCACAGUUCUAAGUGAUAGCAAAAAUGACGCAUUGGCCUCUAAGUGUAUAUAUUAUGAUUUGACUAUGAAAUGUCCCUCAAAAAGUCGGAGUGCUGAAAGCGUGGUCCCCAGCCAGUGGAUGCUGCCAUUGAGACCUGAUUGGAUCAUGAGGAUCCCCUCAGGAUCAAUGGGCUAACCAAUAGACUAGUUUCCAGAAUUGUGACUCCAUGGAUUGAGAAGUGAUGGAAAUGUUCAGAAGUAAUCGCUGAGGCCAUGUCCUUGUCCCUGUUCCAAGCGUGUCGCUGCUUCUCCAUUCUCAUGAGAUGGGCAGCUCUGCUCAACCUACAGGCUCCCACAAUGAUGCUUCAGCCUCUUUCAGGCCACAGCAAUGGGCUAGCCUGGCAUAGAUUGAAAACAUGGACCCAAAUGAACCUCUCCCUUGGCUGAGCUACUUAUGUCAGGAGUUUUGUCACAGCAUUGAAAGGACAAUUUAAGCAACAUCCAAACUACCCUACUGGACUUUUAAAAAGCAGGCUGCAGCCAGGUGUGGUGGCUCCCACCUUUAAUCCCAGCACUGGUGAGGCAGAAGGGAGCUGAUAUUUGUGAGCUUGAGGCCAACCUGGUUACCUAGGGAGCACUACCCCUAUAUAAUGAGACCCUGUCUCAAAAAAAAUUACUUAAAAAUAAAAAUCAAGCUGCUACAUAUGUGCAGAAUGAUAUAAUCGUUAUAAAAUUGCACAAUUGUACCUAUAUAGGUAGGUGACUGGUAUUUAGGUCCAGAAUUAUGUGUCUGCAUGUUUUAGCCUUUAAAAAUGUAGCUUUGCUGUGAUUAGCCAAUUAUUUUUGCGGUUGUUUGUUUCUUUUUUCCCUUUUAAAGUUUUUUAUUUAUUACAAUUUAUUCACUUUGUAUCACAGUUAUAGUCCCUUCCCUUGUCCCCUCCCAAUCGCCCUCUCCCUCCCUCUUCUCCUCCCAUGGCCCUCUCCCAGUCCACAGAUAAGGAAGGUCCUCCUCCCCUUCCAUCUGAUCCUAGCCUAUCAGGUCUCAUCAGGACUGGCUGCAUUGUCUUCCUCUGUGGCCUGGUAAGGCUGCCCCCGCUCAGGGGGAGGUGAUCAAAGAGCCAGCCACUGAGUUCAUGUCAGAGACAGUCCCUGUUCCAGAGACUGAGCUGCCAUGGGCUACAUCUGUGCAGGAGUUCUAGGUUAUCUCUAUGCAUGGUCCUUGGUUGGAGUAUCAGUCUCAGAAAAGACACCUGGGCCCAGACUUUCUGGUUCUGUUGCUCUCCUUUUGGAGCUCCUGUCCCCUGUAGGUCUUUCAAUCUCCCCCUUCUUUCAUAAGAUGCCCUGCACUCUGCCCAAAGUUUGGCUAUGAGUCUCAUUUUUUUCUUUUUUUAUUACCAUUCAUUAUAUGAGUCUCAUUUUUAAGAUAGGGUCUCACAACCCAGCUCAGGCUGGCCUAUUACUUUAACACACAUGCAAAUGAAAAGACUCAGUAGGAAUAAAUAUAUAGAGCAAUGGAGGAAUGAGCUCAGGGCAGAACCUCGGGAAUGCUGGCAUUUAAGGGACAGAAGGCAGCAAACCCAACAACAACAGAUUACUCAGAGAAAGGAAAAGCCAGAGCACAGUUCCAAAGAAGCAGGAAAAGCUUUAAAGGGAAGAGGUUGCUAAGCCCUGCUCAGCACUGCAGAGAGGGGCCCUGUGGAAGGUGGCAGGAGAGUGUUGCACAUGGCAUCGGAAGGGCAAGUGGUGGGCGAUGGGUGGGCGGGCAGUUGGGAUUUAGGAAGAUAAAUGCAUCGAGGAAGGCAGGCUGGAAAGCCACAAAUAGUGAACGGAAUUAGAGACCUUCGGGUACAGAAGCAGAUUGUCAUCAUCGGGCUAGGAAUAGCCUUAUAGGAUGUAGAGAUGACGGUUACCCUAGAAACCCUGGGAGGAGAGCCUUAGCAACAUGGGCUGCACUGUGCUGAAGAUGUUCUUGGCCCCAUCCUAGUUUUAUCUGUCAAUUAGCCUGGAGUCUCUGCUUAAUGGGAAAGUUGUUUCUCUAUGCCCUGGCCUUGGCGUGAAAUCCCUGAAAGGCUCCUUCGUAAUGCCAAAGGUGAUGGCAGCUGCUGGUAUAAAAUUUCUGUUGGGAAGCUCCUCUAAUGUGACAAGAAAGAAACUCAUUUGACCAGUGCAGAACUUGCUUUUUUGUCUGGUUCUCUAGCCUCUAGCCAGGCAACCAUAGAAUAAGGACUGAUAAAAAGCAAGCAGACAGUUUGGGGGGGGGGGGGGUGGCUUGGAAAGCAUACAGACCCAGCUUCUUCUCCUUUCCUUUAACUGGGUAGUUCUGAAAAGUCAUACUUUUUCCACAUAUACCCACAUUUACCUGACUUGUCUCAUUAAAUCUUUACAUAAUUUAAAGUAGACAUUAUCACUCUCUUUUUCACUCUUUUUUUUAAAUGUUCUUUUUAUAAGAGAGCAAGAGAGAGUGUGUGUUUGUGUGUUAAUGAAUACAGUGACUGAGAAUGCCAGAGGCAUCAGAUCCCUUACAGGUGGUUGUAAGCUGCCUGACAUGGGUUCUGGAAACAAAACUUGGGUCUUUGCAAGAGAAUUGUAUGCUUUUAACUGCUGAGCCAUCUCUUCAGCCUUUCUUUUUACUCUUGAUUCUUGUCAGAUAGUAAGAGUCAGAAUCUUGUCAUGGAUAUGGAACCUGAGGCUCAGGAAGUCUUGUUAUUCACCUGAGACCACACACAGUACCUAAGAGCAAUAUCGGGGUGCUGAGGAGGCCGGGCCAGUGUUCACAGGAGGUAGAUUCAAAAUUCCAUGUUAAAGAAUAGGAGGGUGCCUUUUACCAUAAGACCAAAACAUUUGUACGUUUCACCCAAUCUUUGUUACUCCUCCUCAGAUGUUUUCAAACUUUCCCUUAAGAGCAAAGCAUCAGCCAUACCCCGUCCUUUUAUUCCCAUCAUCUUCAAUUUUCUUUCCUCUGGGACACUGAAAUUCCUUAGCAAUAGCCAGCCCUGAGAUAUCCUCAGACGAUGAAGCUGCACUGAGUGCUCACAGCUCGGGGGAGGAUGGUCUGGCUGUCGCAAUCACUCUCCCGUAAACAUAUAUUUUUGUACCAGACGUGGACUGGGGGCUAAGAGAGAUAAUGUUUUAGGCCAGCAGAAUUCACCCUAGAGACACUUCUGAGCACAGCCUUGACAAAUGCUGCAGAUAUUCCUAGAAUUCACCUCCACAUGCUGUCAACUAUGUCAAGCUUGAAAAUUCCUUGUCUCUUGUCCCGAUUAGCUUUUAGUGUCAUUUUUGACAUAACCUAACAUCACCCAGGAAGAGACACCUCGACUGAGGGAUUUCUCAGAUGAGACUGACCUGUGCUCAUGUCUGUAAAAGACUGCCAAAUAAACUCUUUCCUUCCCAGGUUGCUUUUGGUCAGAGUGUGUUAGCAUAGCCACAGAAAGCUCAUUGGAACCUCCCCCUGAAGGAGAACAAUAGGGGGACUAAUGGCUCAGCCUCCCACCUUCCCUGAACACUGAUGGGCAAGCCCGUUUGUCUAGACAUUUUCUUACUGUCUGGUACCUCAAGAUGACCCACUUCCUCCUGGUGUCUCUCUUGUGGGAUUUGUAGCUCUACCUGAAACAAAAAGCAAUUGCUAAGGGGAGGUAGUUUUUCAUGUGUGUGUGUAUUAUGUUUCAAGCUAGUCUGGGCUACACUGUAAGAUUCUGCCUAUCCAACUCCCUCCUCUCUGUUUGUGUGUGUAGGGAGGUAGGGAGGUAGGUAGAUAGAUAGAUAGAUAGAUAGAUAGAUAGAUAGAUAGAUAGAUAGAUAGAUGUGGGUAUGUAUAUAUAAUACAUAUAUAUAUAUUCAUACAUAG